AGUGCUGGGCUGGGCUUUGUUUUCAGUUGCCAUUGGAGAGUUCGGUUGUAGUCAAAUUGCUUCUCUUCUACUUCUAAACACCAGUUCGACGGUCGCACGAUUUUAAACAGGGUACGAGGGUUUUGAUAAAUUAUUAAAAUUUUGAAAAUUUAUUUCAACUUCUCUCUCUAAAGAAAUUAGGGAAAGUUGGAUUUGGAAGAUAUAAAUUUUUAUAGGAUGAUAUGGCAUUACAUGAAUUAAAAUUAAGAAUAAUUGUUAAUUUUCAAGAUUAAUGUGAGAAGUUUAAAGAUUAAUAUGGAUUAAAAAAAAUUCAAAAAUUAUGUUGAGAAAAAUUAUCAGGUUUAGGGACUAAAUGUUAUUUUAUCCUUUUUUGUUAUGGUCACCCUUAUUUUGAGAUUUUAAUAUUUAGACUCGAAAGUAGUUAAUGUAACUAUUUUGUUUUAAUUGAUAGUAUUUUAGCAUUUAGGUUAUAUUGGAGUUUAAUUGGAAUACCUUUGUGAAAGAAAAUAAUUGUCCUAAUAAGCUUAAGAUAGUGUAGUUCACGUUGCAACUUCUCUAAGGCUAAGUUGCAAAGCGGCUGGAAAAGAUGAACUAAGAAGUGGUAACUUAGCGGCAGAAGUUGUGACGUCGUGAUGGGUGUAGCCAAGGAUGAACAACUCAAGAGCCAACGUUGCAAUGUUGCACGUUCGAAGUUGUAAUGUGUUGAAGUUAAUUGCUUGAUCCCUAAUAGUUACUUGAGGUUAAAAGAGAAAAUUACAAGCUAAGUCGUGACUUCAUAAUGGUGAAGUUGCAAUAUUGAGAGCACUUGAGCAUUUUAAUAAAGAAAUUUU
This 830-nucleotide long non-coding RNA is filed under the name Gossypium barbadense (sea-island cotton). RNAcentral's name for it is "long non-coding RNA (GBAR_LNC008397)". Lineage: Eukaryota; Viridiplantae; Streptophyta; Magnoliopsida; Malvales; Malvaceae. The record is from RNAcentral.